RNA transcript from Epinephelus moara (kelp grouper), 3432 nucleotides. RefSeq lists it as uncharacterized. The record is from RefSeq and is a predicted model, not a curated record. The transcript has 5 exons. Lineage: Eukaryota; Metazoa; Chordata; Actinopteri; Perciformes; Serranidae.
AAUAUCUGAAGGAGAAAUUCUUGGAGUGAGUGAUUUAAAUACAGCGGGAGAGUGUGUAAAGUGACCGAGUGGAAGACAAACACACCGACGCUUGUGUUUACAGGAGAGACACACUGCUCACAGGAACAAGCAACUGACCGACCAACUCGCUAAGUGAUGUGGGCUGAAAAAUUGGGGAAACAGUUGGGCCACCCAACACAAUCAGUGGGAGGGUGGCUGGUGAGUAGGUUGCUCGUAGCACGCAACUGGGUCCUUGAGGAGAAUGCUGUGCAGCUGUGCCGGAUCCAACCUGAUGACACAGUGCUGGAGCUGGGUCAUGGCCCGGGUCUGGGUCUGAAGUCAGCUGCCAAACUGCUCACAGCGCACAAAGGCCACCUCAUAGGGGUGGAUUACUCAGCGUACAUGCAUAAGGAGGCAAGUGAGCGAAUGAAGGACCUUGUGGCCAGUGGGAAAGUGACCCUGCAUCACUGUGAUGUAGCAGCAAUGCCUCUGGAAGACAACACUGCGGAUAAAGUCUUUCACUGUAACUGCUACUACUUCUGGCCUGACCUCAGGAAGGGGGCCACAGAGAUACACCGGGUAAUGAAACCAGGAGGCCUGAUGGUGACCACCCUGAGGCUGUCUAACGUGGCUGCUUUGGCAGCAAAGCGAGUGAUGCCAGGGGAGAACUGGCGCCCGGAAGCCUACAUGACAGCUCUGAGAGACUCUGGCUUCAUUGAUGUCAGGAUGGAGGACAGACAGCUGAAAUACAUUUCUUUUCAAGCUAUCUAUGCCACUGCCUCAAAAUGAGAUUCAAAUCACACUGCAAGUGAGAGAUUAUGUGUCUUCGACCCUACUGAUGUGAUUAUACGUCAAGUGCAGCAGCAGCUGUCUGUCAGCCCCCAACUAUUCCUGCCCCUGAACCAGUACCCCCACAUGAGGAAGGAGGUGAGCAGCUGUGUGUUGAAUUAAUAAUAAUGAUAAACUUUAUUACAGACUCAAAUGUCAGAUAAGAACAAAAAACAAUACACACAAAAGAUAUAAAAGAUGAAUCUAUUAUUAUGGAAAAGAUUAAUUAAAAUAAAUGAAAUAAAAAUCGUUCUGAACAAUUUUUAUGGUUUAACUUUUUUGUUUUGUUAAAAUUCAGUUAUCACUGAAAUAGAAGAAUUGCAGUAGGAACAGAGGAGAAAAUUUGUGGUGUGUGCAGCAGACUGGGUGACUGCUCUCAAUCCAAUCAGAGAAAUGUUUACAUAUUCUGGAAAUCAGAAGAUUAAAUAGAUUAACGACCAUAUAGCCUCAUAUAUGUAUUUUUUCACCCCAAAUCCAAUGACACCACCUGUGAGUCUACAGUUUUAAAUUAGACCUUCUUUUUUCACAAAUAUGGGAAUGAUAGUCAAAAAUACCAUCAAAAUGCAUAGUUUUAUGUAAAAUAGCAUCAAAAAUUUCCGCCCGCCUCCCGGCCGGCUGUGUUGAUGACCCAAUAAAAAAAAUUGUCAUGGGGCCCAAAAUCCCUGGCGGCGCCCCUGCCUGUGAAUGACCGUCCAGUUGAGUUCAAGAUUGAUACUGGAAUGUCUCAGCGUACAUUCAACAGCCUACCCCAAAAGCCCCGCCUAGUCAGAACCAGACCCAGCGCCACCAGCCCAGGCGGAGAGGUAAAAUGCAUUGGGAAAUUCCUGGCAGUCAGCCAGUAUAAAAAGCAAAAAUACUCAUAUUGGGUAACAGUCAUCCAUGGACAGUUCACACAGAACUUAUUGGGGAAAAGUGUUGCUAGGAGAAUGGGUCUCAUUGCAAGAGUUGGAGCAGUCAACACAGCAGAGUUCAGCGACAUAUUUGGGGACCUAGGGCUCAUGAACUGUGAUCCAGUUAAGAUUGAGUUAAAGGCGGAUGCAGAGCCCUACGUCACAGCAACACCCCGCCAUGUGCCAUUUCCUCUCCUCCCCAAGGUUGAAACCGAGCUAAAGAGGAUGCUAGCUUUGGGCAUCAUUUAAGAGGUAACUGAACCCACUGACUGGUGCGCGCCUAUGGUGCCAGCAGCUAAAAAGAACUCAGAGGCCGUCAGAGUGUGUGUCAACCUCAAACGCUUGAACAAAGCGGUCAAGCGUGAAAGAUACAUGCUGCCCACGCUGGACGACAUCUAGGGCUGGGCGAUCAUACGAUCUCAAUUCGGGAUCGCGAUAAAAUUUUGAUCAAUCUCAAUUAUCAGCAUGGGACAUUUUGAAUCGAUAUCAUACGGCAAAUGUAAGCGCAACAACAGCAUAUCAGAGUCUGCUGGCUACCAUAUGCCAUGCAUGCAGGAUACGCCCGCUUCUCAUUGUAAGCGUGGCCACAGUUGUGACGGGAGGUAAACAGAGAGAGAAGUUGGAAAAAGGAGAAAAAAUGAGUGACACUGAAGUCGAGGACGGCAAAAAUAAUGCAGAAUGUGAAAGUGACAUCACUAUAUCAUCCGGAACCGAAGAUAUUGUUGAAAAAAAGAGAUAAUGCGACGUCAGUUGUGUGGAAGUGGUUUGGAUAACGUUACCUCAAAAGUGACGAGGAGCUGAUGAAGCCAGUCUGCAAAAUAUGCCGGCGGUUGGUACCAACCAGGUCCGGAAACACCACAAACCUUUUCAAUCACCUGAGACGGCACCAUCCCAGUGACUACACAGAGAGUCUAACUAUGCGGCCUCAAGUUGCCCCGACUUCUCGGGCCUAGCAAGACCCCUUCAUCUGCUGUUAGCAUCGCUAGCGGCAGCUUAGCAAAACAACAGUCUAUCCAGUCGUGUUUUGCAGCCAUUACCCCAUAUAGAAGCAUUUAAAGCGGUAAGUUUAUAUACAAUGUUUCAAUAAGUUAAAGCUUUUAUUUGACAUUGCUUCUCGUUCUUUGAGUUUACAUAUGGCUAAAGGGGAAAAAAACCGUAAACGGACAGCAUGAUUAGUGUUGCGUUCAAGGUCCCCCCAAAAAACAGGAGGAAAAAAAGGCUGAAUAUUCGAUUUUUUUUCUCAAUCGAAUCCCAUGCCAUCGAACGAAGCUUCGAAGCUUCGAAUUUUUUGGGUCAGCCUAAAUCCCACAUGCAAGGGGCUAGCCAUAAGGUUGUUGUUUUCAGCAAGUUGGCCUUGAAUAGCUGAUGUUGAGCUGUAGAGCUGUGUUACUUGUUAUGACCUGCCUUUGGUUGAAUUUAUUCUUUCUAGCUUUAUUCCUUCUCAUCUUAUCUGAGUUCUGUUGUAUGUUUGUGCUCCAUAGAAUUAUUUGCAAACUACAGCUGUUUAGUAAGUUAAAGAUGUGUUGCUGCUAACGACAGCCUGAAGUGGGGAUGAGGUCUUAAGGUUUUUGGAAGGUCUUAAAAAGUCUUAAAAAGGUAUUGAAAUUAACCUCAGGAUUCCUGCAUAUACCCUGUAAAAACAUUUUGUUCUCAAUAUUGGAAAAGCAUAUUAUUUAGUGUUUUAUGUUAUUAAACUUUUAUUGUUAAGUUUCAA